AUUGAACGCUGGCGGCAGGCCUAACACAUGCAAGUCGAACGAGUGGCGGACGGGUGAGUAAUGUCUGGGAAACUGCCCGCUGGAGGGGGAUAACUACUGGAAACGGUAGCUAAUACCGCAUACCAUCGGAUGUGCCCCGAUGGGAUUAGCUAGUAGGUGGGGUAACGGCUCACCUAGGCGACGAUCCCUAGCUGGUCUGAGAGGAUGACCAGCCACACUGGAACUGAGACACGGUCCAGACUCCUACGGGAGGAAGCAGGGGGGAAUAGGGCACAAUGGGCGCAAGCCGGAUGCAGCCAUGCCGCGUGUAUGAAGAAGGCCUUCGGGUUGUAAAGUACUUUCAGCGAGGAGGCGUUACUCGCAGAAGAAGCACCGGCUAACUCCGGGCCAGCAGCCGCGGUAAUAC
This 406-nucleotide ribosomal RNA is filed under the name uncultured bacterium. Its description in RNAcentral is "partial 16S ribosomal RNA". It matches the Rfam family "Bacterial small subunit ribosomal RNA", at positions 29 to 526 of the family's 1533-position model. The record is from RNAcentral.